This 996-nucleotide long non-coding RNA is filed under the name Homo sapiens (human). RNAcentral's name for it is "long intergenic non-protein coding RNA 470". Lineage: Eukaryota; Metazoa; Chordata; Mammalia; Primates; Hominidae. The record is from RNAcentral.
CAAAGUGCUGGGAUUACAGGCGUGAGCCACCGCGCCCGGCCUAAUAAAGGACAAUUUUUAAUAGCCACUGGACUAUUUAAGUGAUCUCUUCUGUCAGUUUCUUUUACCAUCAGAGGACACAGCAGCAAGGUGCCAUCCUAGAAGCAGAGAGCAGACCCUUACCAGACAACCAACCAGCUGGUGCCAUGAUCUUGGACUUCUCGGCCUCCAGAACUCAACACCACACCCUCCUGAUCACCAUAGCUUUAUGGUAAGACACCCCUACUCUGUCCAGACCCAACUGUCAACAGAAGCCAAAGCCAUCUGGAGGAGCAUGCAACAACAAGAAACAAAUUUAUUAGCUAACCUAACCACUAAUGACGCAAGAGACAAUUCUAAGGACUUUCAAAACAGCAAAGUAGGAGCAGCUGCUACCUCUAGGGAUGAGGGAGAAACUCAAAAAUGCAUACAAAAACCAUUGCAUGAAAAGUGACUGGAUUUGUACAUAGCGUCAGGAGAUGUGCGUAGUGUCAAAGUAUCUCAUCACACAUUACUUGAUAAUUACAAAUGAGAAAAAUGAACCUUCACAGUGGCAAGACUUGACUUCUACCUCUUUCAAAAAGAUGCAAUUGUCCAAUUAUUGGUGAAAUUGUCAUUUCAUGCUAUUGGCUAUUUGAAAUUCCUCCUCUAAUUUCAGAAUAAAUCACUGAAAUUGACAUCGGCCAGUCUGAAUUUCAAGAAAUUACCUGCUGAAGACAAGAGGGAUCUCUUCUUCAGAUUUGCAGUCUGGGGAAGACACAGCCUCUACUGUACUUUAGAACCUGAGAUAUGGUGGUGGAGGGAGCCCUGGGUCGAGUGGUAAGAUUCACCCUUAGGUUAGUAUUGACGUAAGGUGACGAGGAGCUGUAGACAAAAGAUUGUAACCAUAAGAACUUCAUAGUUUUUGUAUUUUCACCGAGCUUAUAUUUGGUGUGUUUUUUGUCUUUUCUUUAUGAUUAUCAAUAAAAUGCUUGAAAG